This 216-nucleotide ribosomal RNA is filed under the name Glomeromycotina sp. RNAcentral describes it as "partial small subunit ribosomal RNA". The stretch from base 44 to 216 matches the Rfam family "Eukaryotic small subunit ribosomal RNA", at positions 690 to 864 of the family's 1831-position model. Lineage: Eukaryota; Fungi; Glomeromycota. The record is from RNAcentral.
GGGUCAGUAGGUUGGUCGUGCCACCGGUACGUACUGGUCUCGCUGAUUCCUCCUUCCUGAAGAACCGUAAUGCCAUUAAUUUGGUGUUGCGGGGAAACAGGACCGUUACUUUGAAAAAAUUAGAGUGUUUAAAGCAAGCUAACGCUUGAAUACAUUAGCAUGGAAUAAUGAAAUAGGACGAUCGAUCCUAUUUUGUUGGUUUCUAGGAUUGACGUA